Molecule: ribosomal RNA, 320 nt
Filed under: uncultured eukaryote
Lineage: Eukaryota
Description: partial 18S ribosomal RNA
Rfam family: Eukaryotic small subunit ribosomal RNA
Source: RNAcentral
CCCUUAGAUGUUCUGGGCCGCACGCGCGCUACACUGAUGCAUUCAACGAGUUCUUCCUGGUCCGAGAGGAAUGGGUAACCUUUUGAAAGUGCAUCGUGCUAGGGAUAGACUAUUGCAAUUAUUGGUCUUCAACGAGGAAUUCCUAGUAGACGUAGUUCAUCAGACUGCAUCGAUUACGUCCCUGCCCUUUGUACACACCGCCCGUCGCUCCUACCGAUUGGAUGAUCCGGUGAGCUAUUCGGACCUGUGCAUUUUCCAUUGGAACUUGCGUGGGAAAGUCUCGCGAACCUUAUCAUCUAGAGGAAGGAGAAGUCGUAACA